GACGAACGCUGGCGGCGUGCUUAACACAUGCAAGUCGAACGGAAAGGCCCUGCUUUUGUGGGGUGCUCGAGUGGCGAACGGGUGAGUAACACGUGAGUAACCUGCCCUUGACUUUGGGAUAACUUCAGGAAACUGGGGCUAAUACCGGAUAGGAGCUCCUGCUGCAUGGUGGGGGUUGGAAAGUUUCGGCGGUUGGGGAUGGACUCGCGGCUUAUCAGCUUGUUGGUGGGGUAGUGGCUUACCAAGGCUUUGACGGGUAGCCGGCCUGAGAGGGUGACCGGCCACAUUGGGACUGAGAUACGGCUCAGACUCCUACGGGAGGCAGCAGUGGGGAAUAUUGCACAAUGGGCGGAAGCCUGAUGCAGCAACGCCGCGUGCGGGAUGACGGUCUUCGGGUUGUAAACCGCUUUCGCCUGUGACGAAGCGUGAGUGACGGUAAUGGGUAAAGAAGCACCGGCUAACUACGUG
RNAcentral lists this ribosomal RNA (468 nucleotides) under uncultured bacterium. Its description in RNAcentral is "partial 16S ribosomal RNA". It matches the Rfam family "Bacterial small subunit ribosomal RNA", at positions 28 to 507 of the family's 1533-position model. The record is from RNAcentral.